This 500-nucleotide ribosomal RNA is filed under the name uncultured Lachnospiraceae bacterium. RNAcentral describes it as "bacterial SSU rRNA". It matches the Rfam family "Bacterial small subunit ribosomal RNA", at positions 27 to 507 of the family's 1533-position model. Lineage: Bacteria; Bacillati; Bacillota; Clostridia; Lachnospirales; Lachnospiraceae. The record is from RNAcentral.
AGUUAGUGUCUCGCGUCAGGGAUGAACGCUGGCGGCGUGCCUAACACAUGCAAGUCGAACGGGGCGCGCAGGCUGAGGCUUUUCGGAGCGGAAGCCGGCGCUGCCCAGUGGCGGACGGGUGAGUAACGCGUGGGCAACCUGCCCUGCACUGGGGGACAACAGCCGGAAACGGCUGCUAAUACCGCAUAUGCCCGCAGCCCCGCAUGGGGCGGCGGGGGAAGCUCCGGCGGUGCAGGAUGGGCCCGCGUCUGAUUAGCUGGUUGCGGGGCAACGGCCCACCAAGGCGACGAUCAGUAGCCGGCCUGAGAGGGUGGGCGGCCACAUUGGGACUGAGACACGGCCCAGACCCCUACGGGAGGCAGCAGUGGGGGAUAUUGCACAAUGGGGGGAACCCUGAUGCAGCGACGCCGCGUGGGCGAUGGAGUGCUUCGGCAUGUAAAGCCCUAUCAGCAGGGAAGAAAAUGACGGUACCUGACUAAGAAGCCCCGGCUAAAUACGUG